ACUUUUAAAGGAUAGUAGUUAUCCGUUGGUCUUAGGAGCCAAAAAAUUGGAGCAACUCCAAAUAAAAGUA
RNAcentral lists this transfer RNA (70 nucleotides) under Capra hircus (goat). RNAcentral's name for it is "tRNA-Leu". Lineage: Eukaryota; Metazoa; Chordata; Mammalia; Artiodactyla; Bovidae. The record is from RNAcentral.